This 474-nucleotide ribosomal RNA is filed under the name Methylorubrum rhodinum. RNAcentral's name for it is "bacterial SSU rRNA". It matches the Rfam family "Bacterial small subunit ribosomal RNA", at positions 8 to 526 of the family's 1533-position model. The record is from RNAcentral. Lineage: Bacteria; Pseudomonadati; Pseudomonadota; Alphaproteobacteria; Hyphomicrobiales; Methylobacteriaceae.
AGAGUUUGAUCCUGGCUCAGAGCGAACGCUGGCGGCAGGCUUAACACAUGCAAGUCGAGCGGGCACCUUCGGGUGUCAGCGGCAGACGGGUGAGUAACACGUGGGAACGUGCCCUUCGGUUCGGAAUAACUCAGGGAAACUUGAGCUAAUACCGGAUACGCCCUUAUGGGGAAAGGUUUACCGCCGAAGGAUCGGCCCGCGUCUGAUUAGCUAGUUGGUGGGGUAACGGCCUACCAAGGCGACGAUCAGUAGCUGGUCUGAGAGGAUGAUCAGCCACACUGGGACUGAGACACGGCCCAGACUCCUACGGGAGGCAGCAGUGGGGAAUAUUGGACAAUGGGCGCAAGCCUGAUCCAGCCAUGCCGCGUGAGUGAUGAAGGCCUUAGGGUUGUAAAGCUCUUUUGUCCGGGACGAUAAUGACGGUACCGGAAGAAUAAGCCCCGGCUAACUUCGUGCCAGCAGCCGCGGUAAUAC